UGCUUCUUUGUGUUUUUGUUCAACAGGUGGACAAAGGCAUGGAAGAAGAAUGCAAACAUAAACCCUCAUUUGCCAUCCAGAACUCAUUGUUGAGUAUGAGUUUUGGUACAUAUAUGAAGGAAUAUG
RNAcentral lists this small nucleolar RNA (126 nucleotides) under Neotoma lepida (desert woodrat). RNAcentral describes it as "Small nucleolar RNA SNORA40". It matches the Rfam family "Small nucleolar RNA SNORA40". Rfam says of the family: The snoRNA ACA 40 belongs to the H/ACA family of snoRNAs and guides the pseudouridylation of 28S rRNA subunit at position U4565. NB This family has a high threshold value to exclude a large number of closely related sequences that do not appear to have conserved H and ACA boxes, and may be pseudogenes. The record is from Rfam by way of RNAcentral. Lineage: Eukaryota; Metazoa; Chordata; Mammalia; Rodentia; Cricetidae.